GUCCCUGUAGCGAGAUGGAUAGCGCGUUGGACUUCUAAUGCAAAGGUCAUGGGUUCGAAUCCCAUCUGGGAUG
This 73-nucleotide transfer RNA is filed under the name Trichonephila clavata. It matches the Rfam family "tRNA". From Rfam's summary of the family: Transfer RNA (tRNA) molecules are approximately 80 nucleotides in length. The record is from Rfam by way of RNAcentral. Lineage: Eukaryota; Metazoa; Arthropoda; Arachnida; Araneae; Nephilidae.